UACGAAGGGGGCUAGCGUUGUUCGGAAUUACUGGGCGUAAAGGGCGCGUAGGCGGUGUGUCAAGUCAGGCGUGAAAGCCCCGGGCUCAACCUGGGAACAGCGCUUGAGACUGGCACGCUCGAGUUCGGGAGAGGAUGGUGGAAUUCCCAGUGUAGAGGUGAAAUGCGCAGAUAUCAGGAGGAACACCGGUGGCGAAGGCGGGUCUCUGGGCCGUAACUGACGCUGAGGAGCGAAAGCGUGGGGAGCGAACAGG
Molecule: ribosomal RNA, 253 nt
Filed under: uncultured bacterium
Lineage: Bacteria
Description: partial 16S ribosomal RNA
Rfam family: Bacterial small subunit ribosomal RNA
Source: RNAcentral